CCUACGGGUGGCUGCAGCAAGGAAUUUUCCGCAAUGGGCGCAAGCCUGACGGAGCAACGCCGCGUGGGGGAUGACGCUUUUCGGAGUGUAAACCCCUUUUCUCCGGGAAGAACACAAUGACGGUACCGGAGGAAGAAGGACCGGCUAACUACGUGCCAGCAGCCGCGGUAAUACGUAGGGUCCGAGCGUUGUCCGGAGUUACUGGGCGUAAAGCGCGCGCAGGCGGCUCGGUAAGACUGGCGUGAAAGCCCCCGGCUCAACCGGGGAGGGUCGUU
This 275-nucleotide ribosomal RNA is filed under the name uncultured bacterium. RNAcentral describes it as "partial 16S ribosomal RNA". It matches the Rfam family "Bacterial small subunit ribosomal RNA", at positions 338 to 627 of the family's 1533-position model. The record is from RNAcentral.